Molecule: long non-coding RNA, 1064 nt
Organism: Gasterosteus aculeatus aculeatus (three-spined stickleback)
Lineage: Eukaryota; Metazoa; Chordata; Actinopteri; Perciformes; Gasterosteidae
Source: Ensembl
UAAGUUUGCUGUUGGUCUCGGAGGCUUGUGAUCCUCCAAGAAUCCAAGGAAGAGGAGGGGAUGGAAGGUUUCCAUGGAUCAUGGUUCUAUCUGGACCCUGUUCCUGCCUCCUGCCAUGACACCUGCUGCUGGCUUCUGUGGAUGGUGGUUGUCCCUGCAGUGGUCCUGCCGUACACCUGGCUUACUACAGAACAUGCAGUCAGUUCGUGGUCAGAGGUCCUCUCUUCCCUGAUGAUCCCUCCUCAGCGCUGGCUGCUGCGCUCUGCCUAAGACUGGACACAGAGGGGGAUUAGCCUAGCCUUUGAUCGAUUAGCCUCCCAGCUCAAGGCUGGCGGCAGCAGAUAGGGUGAUGCUGAUUGGAUAAAAUGUGCCGUAACUUGUUUUUCACUUCUGUGUCACUACCAUAAUCUGCCGAGAUAAAACGAGCCAGUAAGGACUUGAACACGAGUGACGGUUAAGAAUGGCACUGAUGUGAAAAUGAAAUAAUAGCAUUUAUUAAUGUUAAAUGAACACAGAACAAUAAUACAUUUUGAUUAAAGGAACUCCAAAAUCUCAUAUGAGCGGAAGAGAGAGGAACUGUGCAUUUGAUUGGGUCCUCUUUCCCUUACCUCCUGAUGGGGUAAGGGAAAAUUUUGUGUUUAUUUGAGUAACAUGAAUUUUAUCCUAAUGAUUCAAGGGUUUAUUUUAUUUGGUCAGCACACCACCUGUCAAAUGAUGACACGCACGCUUGGAGGUAAUUUGGUAUAAAGCAGAGGAGCAUGACACUGACAUAUUUUGUUGAACAAAUAUCAAUCAGAGCUGGAUGAGUUUGUUGAACAAAUCAUCUUGUUUGCUUUGUUAGAAAGGAACAAUAAACAGCCCCACAUGUACGUGUCAGGAUCUUCCUUUCCACACCAUGAUCUCAGCCUUUGGCAUGCUGACCUGUUAUCUUUGAAAACCCAGAAGAGUCUUUCAUGUCUGAAAUGACCAGAUUAAAUUGGCUGCAGUGACCACCACCACUUCCCAUGCUACAGGAGACAACGGCAGAAAUUAACAAAAUUGACAUAAAUGAUGUUGACUGCAAG